Molecule: microRNA, 22 nt
Filed under: Callithrix jacchus (white-tufted-ear marmoset)
Lineage: Eukaryota; Metazoa; Chordata; Mammalia; Primates; Cebidae
Also listed under: 15 other names
Description: Cja-Mir-15-P1d_5p (mature (guide))
Source: RNAcentral
CAGCAGCACACUGUGGUUUGUA